Long non-coding RNA from Numida meleagris (helmeted guineafowl), 1976 nucleotides. RefSeq lists it as uncharacterized. The transcript is spliced from 3 exons. Lineage: Eukaryota; Metazoa; Chordata; Aves; Galliformes; Numididae. The record is from RefSeq and is a predicted model, not a curated record.
UAGAGCAAAGGAGAUUCUGUUUGAACAUCAGGAAGCGUUUCUUUACUGUACGGGUGAUGGAGCACUGGCACAGGCUGCCCAGAAAGUCUCCUUCUCGGAGAACUUCAAAAGCCGCCUGGGCAUGGUUCUGGGCAUCCUGCUCUGUGUGACCCUGUAGGGGGAUACGGACCUGAAGACCAGUGGUUCCUUCCAACCUCAACCAUUCUGUCAUUCAAAAACUGAGCACAGUACUUCCAUAUGUUUACAAGUGUCCUUUAUGUGCUCAGCAAUGACAUCCAAGAGGAUCAGAGGCAAGGCUGAGUUCCAUGUAGUGGUUUGGAUCCUCAUCGCUCUCUCUGAAGAUGGCUUUUUGCCAGUCAUCAGGAACCUCUCUCAAUUCCUAUGAUCAUUUAAAGUCAGUAGAGAGCAGCCUUGUGAUGAAAUCAACCGAGAUGCAGCUUGUCUGGGAUCUUGAAUUUGCGUAUGUGCAGCUAUCUUUAGUGGUCCCUGAUUUGAUCAUCCUUUGUUGUAGGUAUCACCUGAUGCUUCUGCUUGGGAGUCACAAUCUUCAGGAAAAAGUUUUCAAGUGCACCGGCAGAAUAAGCAAAAAAUGGGAUGCGUGGAAUGAAGCUCAGGGUGCAGAUGGGAAUAUUCCUUCUCUAUAGGAAUCUCAAGUAGGAAAUACCAAUGACAGUGAGGUUAGAUCACACUGUCUCUUUUAAUACAAGUAAGAAGGAUUCUUGCGUCUUGCUCCUAUUUUAAAGGCAUGCAUCUGGAGGGGAAAAAACACAGAAAACAAAAAGGUGGUAGGCUGAAAAAUAAAAUAUUAAGGUCAGUGUUAUGUUUGUGUUUGAAAUAAAUGUAUUUUUAAAAAUUGAGUAAAAAAUACAAAGACAUCAGUCAAUUGACAAACAUGGAGGUAAUGACCAAGUUUCUGAAGGAAGAAAGAUUACAAGGAAUGAGAUUGCCAUUAAGCACAAACUUUAGGCUACAAUUUCAACUGAAAUACGUAUUAAAUAAUGAAACUUUAUAAGCUGUACUUGGAUAAGGAAGUACAAGAGAGGAGAUCUCUGCUGCAUUCUGUCUGGCCUUAAUUGCCCUCAUGAGUCACAGCGAUGCCAAUAUAUAAGGAGAAAAUGGCUUCUGAGGCAAAUCCAGGGCUAUGUUUAAGUAUUUUACAGUAGGGCUGUUGUUGUUCAGACUUGACUGACAGAGACAGCAGAGGAUCUACUGUGUCAGAAUAUUGAAGUAACAAUAACAAAUUGAAAACAUUAGACAGGAUGAUGCAGAGUAACCUAUCCUACUGCAUCUAUGAAUGCCUCCUCUUACUCACUGGUGUCCACAAGCUUUUCCCUUUUCCUUUUUCCUUUUUUUCCUUCAUUUUCCUUCUCCUUUUCCUCCUUUUUCUUCCUUUUUUCCCCCUAUUUUUUUCUUUUUUUUCCCCUUAUUCCUUUUCUAAUCCUUUUUCAUCUUUCUUUCUCAGAACAUGAUUUAGAGUUAUCCAUUAAAAUGUCAGAUAUGCUUAUUUUUGACACCCCUCUUAAUUCUUUCCUUGUAUUUAGAUAUAAAUUCUUAUUUUCUGGAAAAUUAGCUUAAUUCUAUGGUAAAGGAAGAUUAAUAUGCUCUUUAUGUGCUGCCACUUUCAGUUCACUAUAAAACUGCUGUGGUGCAGCCUGAUCAGCUAUUUCUGUUGGCACACAACAGAGCUGGACUUUUGCCUAGAGUAGCACAAUCUUUUUAUUUGCUGGAGAAACAGCUAGUCACCACCUCAGCUAUAUGAUACUCUGCCUACUGCUAUGCAGGGACGUAGUUGCUCACUGUUUGUGCUUGUGCCCACACCUCUAAAGCUCGGUGAUGUCCACACAUUAUCAUUUCAUUUCUUUUGCUAGCACUUCUUUGUAUUUCUGGUUUUUUAUGUGUUUCUGUUGGUUUCUUUCCACUUCGUGCUCUCAGCUGGUGCCUGACUUGACUACUUGCUCACAGUUGUCAUGCCAACU